This 497-nucleotide ribosomal RNA is filed under the name uncultured bacterium. Its description in RNAcentral is "partial 16S ribosomal RNA". It matches the Rfam family "Bacterial small subunit ribosomal RNA", at positions 28 to 507 of the family's 1533-position model. The record is from RNAcentral.
GAUGAACGCUGGCGGCGUGCCUAAUACAUGCAAGUCGAGCGAACAGAUGAGGAGCUUGCUCCCCUGACGUUAGCGGCGGACGGGUGAGUAACACGUGGAUAACCUACCUAUAAGACUGGGAUAACUUCGGGACACCGGAGCUAAUACCGGAUAAUAUAUUGAACCGCAUGGUUCAAUAGUGAAAGACGGUUUUGCUGUCACUUAUAGAUGGUUCCGGGCCGCAUUAGCUAGUUGGUAAGGUAACGGCUUACCAAGGCAACGAUGCGUAGCCGACCUGAGAGGGUGGACGGCCAGACGGGAACUGAGACACGUUCCAGACACCUACGGGGGGAAGCAGUAGGGAAUCUUCCGCAAUGGGCGAAAGCCGGACGGAGCAACGCGGCGUGAGUGAUGAAGCUCUUCUGAUCGGAAAGCGCUGUUAUUAGGAAAGAACAAAUGUGUAAGUGACUAUGCACGUAUUGACGGUACCUAAUGAGAAAGCCACGGCUAACUACGUG